CUAAGCAUGAAGCCCCCCUCGAGAUGAGAUUUCCCAACUUCGGUUAUAAGAUCCCUCAAAGAUGAUGAGGUGAAUAGGUUCGAGGUGGAAGCGUAGUGAUACGUGGAGCUGACGAAUACUAAUCGAUCGAAGACUUAAUCAAU
This 143-nucleotide ribosomal RNA is filed under the name Staphylococcus pseudintermedius. RNAcentral's name for it is "partial 23S ribosomal RNA". It matches the Rfam family "Bacterial large subunit ribosomal RNA", at positions 2781 to 2925 of the family's 2925-position model. The record is from RNAcentral. Lineage: Bacteria; Bacillati; Bacillota; Bacilli; Caryophanales; Staphylococcaceae.